AAAAUGUGAGAAAAGUAGUAAAAGCACGAAACAGAUUAAAAAGAAAGAGAGAGAAAUAAGAUUGGCUGAGAAAACGCGUAAAAGGGUCUCUCUAGUUCAGAUCUCAACUAGCCCACAAUAAACCUUCCCAUACCUCACACUGUGGCAGCCUCACAAAUCGAAUAUUCUUAGCUUAAAUUUUCGUAUUUAUUUUUGUUUUUCUUUUUCAUAGAAUCACUAUCUUUUUCUUUCUCCAACAGCCACUGCAUCCGAUGCUGUUUCCCUCACCAUCUUGACAAAAAUUUUGUGGUGCCUGCCUUCAAGCUAUCACCAAAAGUUUAAGAAAUGGAUCAACAAGUUGAGAGGCAGAAGCGGAGCAAGGAGAUGAAAAGGAAGAGUAGUAGGGUUAAGAAGACUAACAAGAUAGUGACGUGUUGUCGAUGCCCCUGUCGUGCAGCAUCGUGCAUGUUCCGAGGUAUUGGGAGGUGCGUGUUUGUCUCAUGUUACCCUGUUGUGCGGUGCUUGGGUUUGGAUGAACACAGACACCGCCACCAUCAUCACCAUGGCAAGCACUUUGAUUGGUGACACAAACCAGAAAGGUUAUAGGAAUCAAUGCAUACUUUAUUCAUGUUUUUCGGGAUUUAAGAUUUAGGAAAGGUUGAGAGGGAUGAAUAAAUGGUCCUCACUGCUCACUUUUGUUCUUUAUCUUUCUUCUAUAGUAGAUUAUUAGCUUUACACGAUUCUUUUCAUGAUAGAUGAACAAUUCGAAAUUUUGAAAGGGUUGGUUUAA
Vigna unguiculata (cowpea) is the source of this 769-nucleotide long non-coding RNA. RefSeq lists it as uncharacterized. The record is from RefSeq and is a predicted model, not a curated record. NCBI's taxonomy places the organism in Eukaryota, Viridiplantae, Streptophyta, Magnoliopsida, Fabales, Fabaceae.